Molecule: non-coding RNA, 996 nt
Organism: Solanum lycopersicum (tomato)
Lineage: Eukaryota; Viridiplantae; Streptophyta; Magnoliopsida; Solanales; Solanaceae
Source: RefSeq, a predicted model, not a curated record
ACCAUCUUUAACUUUGCAACUUUCAUAUUAUCCCCUCAAAAUUUUCUAAUAUCGUUAUAAAAGGGUGACCAUUUUGACCGAUUCCCUCACCUGGGUUGUGAACACGCACAAGAGGAGUGCGAAGCAGUGUUUUCACUGCAAAUAACCAAUUUAAAUGUGCACGUGACACUAAUUUUCCCUUAUCAAUUAAUUAUUUUCUUCCUUUUCAUCAUCUUCCCCAAAAACAAAUUUAUUAAAAGAGUUGUUGGUACAAAGUUAUUAAAAGAGUUGUUGGUGCCUCUCUUGAUAGACAAUUUCAUUAUAAACUCCGGUACUCUCUUUUACGAAUUCAUCAUCUUUACCAAGCGCAAUAAGGAAAAUGUAAAAUGCAAUGUUCAAUUGUAGUAGUAAUGAUGAGAAUGAUCGAUGUAGUGAGUGAAAUUCCGACGCAAACAUGGAGACUUACUUUCAAUGCAAAAUUCAUGGUCGGAGCACAAUUCAGAUCGAUGAUUUUGGUCUUGUCCACGUUAUCUUGUAUGGUCUCUAAAUCAUUUCAGGAGAUAUUUUACGUAUAUUUCUAUGUUUUGUUUUUUCUUUAAUAUUUUUAUGACGUAUUUUAGGAGAAUGCAUGCAACUUCUUUAGAUGAAGGGAUCUUGAAGGUGUUGAUAUAUGAUUAAAAUACGUUAUUUAAGAUUGGCGAACAUAAUUAAGGAGUUGGAAGAAGCAUUAGCAUGUUAUGAAUGUCGUGUUGAAAAUAAUGCAUGGAUGAUGCAAGAGAAGAAGAAGAUGAGCUCAUGUUGUAACUUAAAGCUAAUUGUCUUGGUUGUAGUAGUGUUUUUUCCUAAUAUUUAAGUCUAACCAAGAAUGUGAAGGAUGGAGCAUGUAGGUGUGUGCAACCAAAAUCGUCAUAAACAUCUUUACUUACUUUCAAGUUUUGAUUUUUUUUGUCGUCGAAUGCUCAAGUUUUCGUUAUUUUUUAUUGUCGAAAUAAUUAUGAUUGAAGAAUUGUUAAUGUA